ACUGCGCACGCGCCGGUCGGCUGGCCGCACCCACGCGGCGCAGCUCCCAAAGUUGCAGACAGCCCGGCGAACCGCGCAAUGCGCUUCUUCUGCCUGCAGCAGAGAAAAGGAAAGAAAACUCCGCAGGGGCUCCGUUGGCUUCUCCACGAGUGACAACCAUGUUUUCCCAGAUAGAAGACCGGAGCCCUGCUCCUUUGCGAUCCGCCGAGGGCUGCAGAGAGCAUCCUCAUCCAUUUGGGCACCCCUGCCCAGGAAGAGCCCGGCCAUCCCUUUCCGGACUGGAUCCUUAAGAGGUGAAUUUUCUUCCGUGGAUUCCGAUUUGCUCCGUCUGACCAGCCUAGGCAAUCCAGCAUCGCGUGGUACCAGUGCCGCUGGGCACACUGGCUUCACGCCGGCUCCGCCUCACCAGCAAGCGCAUUCCCAGGUGGUCAGGCUCAGGAUGGACCAUGAGCUUUCAAAAAGGAAAAAGGUGGAAAUCCUCAACUAUGCUGCCAUCUGAAUAAGUGUUUCUUUGUAGAUGCACAGAGUCAAGGAAAAUUACAUCCCUGCAUUAUGUAAUGUACCAACAACGCACUUACCCACUGUUUUAAUCUAGGUUAUUCUUGAAAGCAGAGCCUGAGACAAAGGUAGACACAUUCUAUUUAUGAGUCUAACACCCAGGAGCAGGAAUGAGAGAUAGGGGAGUGAACUGGGGAAAAGGGAAACUAAGUCCGAGCAAAACCAGAUACUGCUCUUAUCAAGUGGUCCACCCCUAUUAAUGGCUACAUAAUGCAGAACUUUCUCAGGAUUCUUCUUAAACUUUAUCUCAGAACUGUCUGCCUCAGGGAGAAAGGAGAAGUAUUUCUCCAUCAGCAGCCACCUCCUGUGUGUUGAGGGCUGCUCCUUUGGGGCAUUAACCCACUGCCUCCACCACCCCAACCCUCUGGGCUGCAAAGAGCUAGCUGACAGUCCAGCUGGUACCUUAGCAUCACACAUUGCUGCAUCAGAGAGGUCUUAAGACAGGAAGCUAGAGUCUUGGUGCAUGCUCGAAGUGAGACGGUGUCAGCACAGAGCAGGGUAAAAUCUUCCCGUUAACUCUUCACCAGAGCUAUGACUGGAAUCAGAGGUUGAAAAGAUGUGAGACUGUACCCAAGAAGCAUCUUAUAAGCCUACGUAAUAUACUGUUAGACUCAUCGAAAUCUAUUUCCUCCCUUCUUUAUAAUCAAAACUUCAGUGUCCAGAAUAAAGUUGGCAGAAGGGUUAAAUUGGAAAGUUAAAUGUACUAGAAGGUGUACAUUUAUAAGUUUUGACCUUGAGUCGUGUUCAAGGAGAAAGUGACAUUGGAACUUGGAAAAUUUAAAAAUGAUUCUACUUGAAAAAUUUGACCAUUGCAUAGAAAUAUUAGCUAUCGUCUAAUCUUUUGUAAUCUUAGAAACAAUCGUGAAUUGUUUGGUGAAAAAUGAAAAAAUAACCAUUUCUUAUGUCUCCGUGACCUUUAUAGACCAAUGUCACCAACUUUUCCUAAGGUAAUUGUUUCCUACUGUCAAAUAGCUCUAGUGAUAUAAAUCUUAACAAUCAAUGAAGGGAAAACUGGUGGAAACAUAGGAGGAAAAAUACUGGGAUAAUUUUCAUCACAAAGUAUUGGCAUUAACAUUGGUUAGAAUAGGGGAGAAACUGCAUGACUUGACAACUGGACAUUCCUGUAUGUUGUAUGAGGCCCUGUCUUAACAGAAAUAGUGAUGUCAUCAUCAUCCUCUCUUAUUUGGUCUUGAAUUGCCACCAAUCGGAUAAAACCUUUGAAUUAUUUAACUCAAUAUAUGUUAAGUUUCUACUAUGUGCUGUGUAUUGGUACUAUAAAUAUGAAUAAGACAUAAGAUAUUACAUUCAAAAACAUCAGAAUACAUGUUCUUUUAAAGUAUACCCCAAAACAUUUACCAUGUGUUCUGGGGCGCAUGUUAGGCUGGAUCACAAAUCAAGUCUCAAGAAUUUCAAAAGAUUGAAAUCAUAUAGAGUAUGAAUUAAACCAGAAAUCAAGUACAUAAAGGUAACAAAAAAUUUCCAAAAUGCAUUAAUUUAAGGAACAUACACCUCAUGACCCAUGAGCCAAAAAAUAAAAAGCUCUAAGUACAUAUGUUAGAAAUUUUACCGAAAGGUUGGCUAUCAGUGUUUCCAGAAGCCAGGGAAAAAGUUUAUACAAUUUGAUCGCUGAGGCAGGGAAACAAAGUGAGACCUCCGAUCGCCCUGCCUUUCUGAGGUGAGCACUCUGGAUCCCAUCGCAGGAGAUCAGAGUCUUGCUGAGUUGAGGAGAGGAAGAUUGGAGUUGAUACUGAGAUAGCUUGAAUUUUCAGGACAAAGUAUCAACAAGGAGGAAGGUAGACAAAAAAAUCCAGAAAUCUAUGUAGAGACCCCAUUGUGUACAUUGCGGAACACUAAGCCUAACAAUUCUCAAAAUUAGCGUGAGAUUGGGAAAUAUCUAAUUUCCAUCCAGCCACAGUGGAGAGUCCUGACUGAAAACCAGGCAUUCGCUAAAGAUCCCAGAAAGGUUGUGUGUUACAUACGUAGGGCUAAACUAUCCUGACUAAAAACUACACUACACUUGCUCCUCACCCCCACAAAAAGCUUAAAAACAAGCCUCAAUAGUAUAAAGCUGAUCUGUAAGUAACUAAACUACCUGCAGAACAAAGUCCAAAUUUAUUAGUUCCAGUACUCCAAAAAAAACACAUGUAAAAAAAAAAUAGAUUUACAAGACAUUUAUUUGGGGAAAAAAAGAAUGCCUGAGGGUUGAAAUGGAGAGGAAGCCAGAGAGACAGAGUCCUCAGAAUACAUAAAAUUUCUGGCCUCCAUGGAGGUGUGAUGGUUAAUUUUAUGCAUGUCAACUUCGCUGGGCCACAGGAUGCCCCAUAUAUGAUCGAACAUUAUUUCUGGUUGUGUUCAUGAAGCUUUUUCUGGAGGAAAUUCGCAUUUGAAUUGAUGGACUGAAUAAAGCAGAUUGCAGUCCCCAGUGUGGAUGGGCUUGAUCCAGUCUUCUAAGGACCCAAAUAAAAUAGGUGGAGGAAGCUUGAAUUUUCUGCCUGACUGUGGCGCUGGGACACCCAUCUUCUCCUGCCCUUGAACUGGGACUGACACCAUCAGUGCUCCUGGUUCUCAGACCUUCGGACAGCAGACUUGGGGCCUUCUCGGCCUCCAUUAUUGUCUGCUUUUAGAUAUUUAACGGGAGAGGAAAAGAGAAAAUAUGAUUAAAGCCUUUGAAAGUCCAUUUCCAAGAAAUAAAAACUGCAGUAGGAAUUCUACAAAACUGAAAAAUCUUCAGGACUGGAAGAUCUAUCCAGAAAAGCCCAGUGGAUUAUAAUAACUUAUUAAAAUAUUUGUUUGGCAAGCCACUGACUAAUACCACUUUAAGAUAUGAAUGCAUUACCAAAAAAAAUUGGAAGGAGAAAAUGAGACACUGAGUGGGACUCAGGGAUUGCUCCAGGCCACACAGUCAGCAGGAGGCAAAGCCCAGAUUCAAAUGCAGAUUACUCAGCUCCACAAUCCACAUCCUCACAGGAGGCUGCACUCCUUGCCCAAGCGUCAGACAGGAGCAAAGAGAAAGAAGGCAACCAGCUGGCUACUUUCUUCCCUUCUUGGAUGCCUCCAACAGG
This 3620-nucleotide long non-coding RNA is filed under the name Homo sapiens (human). Its description in RNAcentral is "HSALNT0058268". The record is from RNAcentral. Lineage: Eukaryota; Metazoa; Chordata; Mammalia; Primates; Hominidae.